CAGUAGCCGCGGGAAUACGUAGGUGGCGAGCGUUGUCCGGAAUCAUUGGGCGUAAAGGGAGCGCAGGCGGGCAUGUAAGUCUUUCUUAAAAGUGCGGGGCUCAACCCCGUGAUGGGAAAGAAACUACAUGUCUUGAGUACAGGAGAGGAAAGCGGAAUUCCCAGUGUAGCGGUGAAAUGCGUAGAUAUUGGGAGGAACACCAGUGGCGAAGGCGGCUUUCUGGACUGCGACUGACGCUGAGGCUCGGAAGCCAGGGGAGCGAACGGGAUUAGAUACCCCAGUAGUCCCUGUCUCUUAUACA
This 301-nucleotide ribosomal RNA is filed under the name uncultured bacterium. RNAcentral describes it as "partial 16S ribosomal RNA". It matches the Rfam family "Bacterial small subunit ribosomal RNA", at positions 509 to 809 of the family's 1533-position model. The record is from RNAcentral.